Paenibacillus polymyxa SC2 is the source of this 173-nucleotide regulatory RNA element. It matches the Rfam family "FMN riboswitch aptamer (RFN element)". From Rfam's summary of the family: The RFN element is a highly conserved domain that is found frequently in the 5'-untranslated regions of prokaryotic mRNAs that encode for flavin mononucleotide (FMN) biosynthesis and transport proteins. This element is a metabolite-dependent riboswitch that directly binds FMN in the absence of proteins. In Bacillus subtilis, the riboswitch most likely controls gene expression by causing premature transcription termination within the 5' untranslated region of the ribDEAHT operon and precluding access to the ribosome-binding site of ypaA mRNA. Lineage: Bacteria; Bacillati; Bacillota; Bacilli; Caryophanales; Paenibacillaceae. The record is from Rfam.
AAGAUCCUUCGGGGCGGGGCGAAACUCCCCACCGGCGGUGAUGACAUGUUUGUGAAUCGCUUCUGUGAACACAGCAUGGCUUAGUCCGUGACCCGGAUGCUGAACAAUCAGCAGAAGGUGGACCUGGUGUAAUUCCGGGACCGACAGUAUAGUCUGGAUGGGAGAAGGAUACG